RNAcentral lists this ribosomal RNA (790 nucleotides) under uncultured archaeon. Its description in RNAcentral is "bacterial SSU rRNA". It matches the Rfam family "Archaeal small subunit ribosomal RNA", at positions 85 to 878 of the family's 1478-position model. The record is from RNAcentral.
ACUGCUCAGUAACACGUAGUCAACAUGCCCAGGGGACGUGGAUAACCUCGGGAAACUGAGGAUAAACCGCGAUAGGUCAUCACUUCUGGAAUGGGUAAUGACUUAAAUCUAUAUGGCCCCUGGAUUGGACUGCGGCCGAUCAGGCUGUUGGUGAGGUAAUGGCCCACCAAACCUGUAACCGGUACGGGCUCUGAGAGGAGGAGCCCGGAGAUGGGCACUGAGACAAGGGCCCAGGCCCUAUGGGGCGCAGCAGGCGCGAAACCUCUGCAAUAGGCGAAAGCUUGACAGGGUUACUCUGAGUGAUUUCCGUUAAGGAGAUCUUUUGGCACCUCUAAAAAUGGUGCAGAAUAAGGGGUGGGCAAGUCUGGUGUCAGCCGCCGCGGUAAUACCAGCACCCCGAGUGGUCGGGACGUUUAUUGGGCCUAAAGCAUCCGUAGCCGGUUCUACAAGUCUUCCGUUAAAUCCACCUGCUUAACAGAUGGGCUGCGGAAGAUACUAUAGAGCUAGGAGGCGGGAGAGGCAAGCGGUACUCGAUGGGUAGGGGUAAAAUCCGUUGAUCCAUUGAAGACCACCAGUGGCGAAGGCGGCUUGCCAGAACGCGCUCGACGGUGAGGGAUGAAAGCUGGGGGAGCAAACCGGAUUAGAUACCCGGGUAGUCCCAGCUGUAAACGAUGCAGACUCGGUGAUGAGUUGGCUUAUUGCUAACUCAGUGCCGCAGGGAAGCCGUUAAGUUUGCCGCCUGGGGAGUACGGUCGCAAGACUGAAACUUAAAGGAAUUGGCGGGGGAGCA